This 200-nucleotide unclassified non-coding RNA is filed under the name soil metagenome. RNAcentral describes it as "partial internal transcribed spacer 1". The record is from RNAcentral.
CCGAGUUUACAACUCCCAAACCCAAUGUGAACGUUACCAAACUGUUGCCUCGGCGGGAUCUCUGUCCCGGGUGCGUCGCAGCCCCGGACCAAGGCGCCCGCCGGAGGACCAACCAAAACUCUUAUUGUAUACCCCCUCGCGGGUUUUUUUAUAAUCUGAGCCUUCUCGGCGCCUCUCGUAGGCGUUUCGAAAAUGAAUCA